AUAACAUGGUUUAUGUGCUCGUUCUGGGUAAAUAGAGUUUCUAGCAUUUAUGUUAGUUACUUGUUCCCCGGAUAGUUUAGUUACGUAGCCAAUUGUGGAACUUUCUUGCUAAAAUUUUUAAGAAUACUAUUUGGGUUAAACCAAUUAGUUCUUAUUAAUUAUAACGAUUAUCAAUUAACAAUCAAUUCAGAACUGGCACGGACUUGGGGAAUCCGACUGUCUAAUUAAAACAAAGCAUUGUGAUGGCCCUAGCGGGUGUUGACACAAUGUGAUUUCUGCCCAGUGCUCUGAAUGUCAAAGUGAAGAAAUUCAAGUAAGCGCGGGUCAACGGCGGGAGUAACUAUGACUCUCUUAAGGUAGCCAAAUGCCUCGUCAUCUAAUUAGUGACGCGCAUGAAUGGAUUAACGAGAUUCCUACUGUCCCUAUCUACUAUCUAGCGAAACCACAGCCAAGGGAACGGGCUUGGAAUAAUUAGCGGGGAAAGAAGACCCUUUUGAGCUUGACUCUAAUCUGGCAGUGUAAGGAGACAUAAGAGGUGUAGAAUAAGUGGGAGAUAUUAGACCUCGGUUUGGUAUCGUCAAUGAAAUACCACUACUCUUAUUGUUUCCUUACUUACUUGAUUAAAUGGAACGUGUAUCAUUUCCUAGCCAUUAUACGGAUAUAUUUAUUAUAUCUUAUGGUAUUGGGUUUUGAUGCAAGCUUCUUGAUCAAAGUAUCACGAGUUUGUUAUAUAAUCGCAAACAAAUUCUUUAAUAAAACGAUGCAUUUAUGU
This 772-nucleotide ribosomal RNA is filed under the name Drosophila melanogaster (fruit fly). RNAcentral describes it as "eukaryotic LSU rRNA". It matches the Rfam family "Eukaryotic large subunit ribosomal RNA", at positions 1990 to 2596 of the family's 3401-position model. The record is from RNAcentral. Lineage: Eukaryota; Metazoa; Arthropoda; Insecta; Diptera; Drosophilidae.